GCCAUGACAGCGCACACUUUUAAGCCCUGCUACUGGCAAGGCUGAGGCUGGUGAAUCAGUUGAGCUUGGGAAUUCUGAAUUGCAGCAAGCUAUGCUGAUUGAGUGUCUACACUAUAUCUAGCACCAAUAUGGUGAGCUCCAAGAGGAGGCCACCAAAUCCCCUAAGGAGAGGUGACCUGACCCACGUCAGAAACAGAACCUGUCAAAGCUCCCAUGAUGAGUAGCAGUGAGAUCUAGCCUAUGAGAAGCCUUUGUACUUCCAGCCAGGGUAGGAUAGGGAGAAACAGUCUUA
Molecule: non-coding RNA, 292 nt
Filed under: Phascolarctos cinereus (koala)
Lineage: Eukaryota; Metazoa; Chordata; Mammalia; Diprotodontia; Phascolarctidae
Source: RNAcentral